RNAcentral lists this ribosomal RNA (588 nucleotides) under uncultured bacterium. RNAcentral describes it as "partial 16S ribosomal RNA". It matches the Rfam family "Bacterial small subunit ribosomal RNA", at positions 355 to 937 of the family's 1533-position model. The record is from RNAcentral.
UGGGGAAUAUUGGACAAUGGGCGAAAGCCUGAUCCAGCCAUGCCGCGUGUGUGAAGAAGGUCUUCGGAUUGUAAAGCACUUUAAGUUGGGAGGAAGGGCAUUAACCUAAUACGUUAGUGUUUUGACGUUACCGACAGAAUAAGCACCGGCUAACUUCGUGCCAGCAGCCGCGGUAAUACGAAGGGUGCAAGCGUUAAUCGGAAUUACUGGGCGUAAAGCGCGCGUAGGUGGUUCGUUAAGUUGGAUGUGAAAGCCCCCGGGCUCAACCUGGGAACUGCAUCCAAAACUGGCGAGCUAGAGUACGGUAGAGGGUGGUGGAAUUUCCUGUGUAGCGGUGAAAUGCGUAGAUAUAGGAAGGAACACCAGUGGCGAAGGCGACCACCUGGACUGAUACUGACACUGAGGUGCGAAAGCGUGGGGAGCAAAACAGGAUUAGAUACCCUGGUAGUCCACGCCGUAAAACGAUGUCAACUAGCCGUUGGGUUCCUUGAGAACUUAGUGGCGCAGCUAACGCAUUAAGUUGACCGCCUGGGGAGUACGGCCGCAAGGUUAAAACUCAAAGGAAUUGACGGGGUCAUAGCUGUUUCC